GAUGAACGCUGGCGGCGUGCCUAAUACAUGCAAGUCGAGCGAACAGACGAGGAGCUUGCUCCUCUGACGUUAGCGGCGGACGGGUGAGUAACACGUGGAUAAACUACCUAUAAGACUGGGAUAACUUCGGGAAACCGGAGCUAAUACCGGAUAAUAUAUUGAACCGCAUGGUUCAAUAGUGAAAGACGGUUUUGCUGUCACUUAUAGAUGGAUCCGCGCCGCAUUAGCUAGUUGGUAAGGUAACGGCUUACCAAGGCAACGAUGCGUAGCCGACCUGAGAGGGUGAUCGCCCACACUGGAACUGAGACACGGUCCAGACUCCUACGGGAGGCAGCAGUAGGGAAUCUUCCGCAAUGGGCGAAAGCUUGACGGAGCAACGCCGCGUGAGUGAUGAAGGUCUUCGGAUCGUAAAACUCUGUUAUUAGGGAAGAACAAAUGUGUAAGUAACUAUGCACGUCUUGACGGUACCUAAUCAGAAAGCCACGGCUAACUACGUG
RNAcentral lists this ribosomal RNA (497 nucleotides) under uncultured bacterium. RNAcentral's name for it is "partial 16S ribosomal RNA". It matches the Rfam family "Bacterial small subunit ribosomal RNA", at positions 28 to 507 of the family's 1533-position model. The record is from RNAcentral.